ACCGUGGUGGUACAAUGGUUAAGCACUCAGCUGUUAACUGAAAGGUUGGCAGUUUGAACCUGCCCAGCGGCU
RNAcentral lists this transfer RNA (72 nucleotides) under Loxodonta africana (African savanna elephant). It matches the Rfam family "tRNA". From Rfam's summary of the family: Transfer RNA (tRNA) molecules are approximately 80 nucleotides in length. Their secondary structure includes four short double-helical elements and three loops (D, anti-codon, and T loops). The record is from Rfam by way of RNAcentral. Lineage: Eukaryota; Metazoa; Chordata; Mammalia; Proboscidea; Elephantidae.